This 253-nucleotide ribosomal RNA is filed under the name uncultured bacterium. RNAcentral's name for it is "partial 16S ribosomal RNA". It matches the Rfam family "Bacterial small subunit ribosomal RNA", at positions 524 to 776 of the family's 1533-position model. The record is from RNAcentral.
UACGUAGGGUGCGAGCGUUGUCCGGAGUUACUGGGCGUAAAGAGCUCGUAGGUGGUUUGUCGCGUCGUCUGUGAAAUUCCGGGGCUUAACUCCGGGCGUGCAGGCGAAACUGGCAAACUGGAGUGCUGUAGGGGAGACUGGAAUUCCUGGUGUAGCGGUGGAAUGCGCAGAUAUCAGGAGGAACACCGAUGGCGAAGGCAGGUCUCUGGGCAGUUACUGACACUGAGGAGCGAAAGCAUGGGGAGCGAACAGG